This 85-nucleotide transfer RNA is filed under the name Felis catus (domestic cat). It matches the Rfam family "tRNA". From Rfam's summary of the family: Transfer RNA (tRNA) molecules are approximately 80 nucleotides in length. Lineage: Eukaryota; Metazoa; Chordata; Mammalia; Carnivora; Felidae. The record is from Rfam by way of RNAcentral.
GCCUGGGUGGCUCAGUCGGUUGAGCAUCUGACUUCAGCUCAGGUCACGAUCUCACGGUUUGUGAGUUCGAGCCCCGCGUCGGGCU